GUCAGGUAUCUGUUACUGGCCUCUGAAAGUAUUCUAACUGACAUUCCAUCUGCAAUCUCCUGUUUCAACUGGCCGCAGCUCCAGGACCACUCAGUUUGUUGUACAGGAGCAGCCCAGAUUUGGUGUGUUCCUCUACACAAGGAACAAUUGCCUGGAGACAUGAUUCACAGGGAGGAGGGAGUGCCUUCCUAGAAGAGCUAUCAUAAAAAGCCCUAGAUCCUGACUAUCAGCAGAGAAUUCUUGUGCUUGGUGUAAGAGCAGAAAAGGCUGGAAAGGCAGCGAUAAUGACCAGGAUCAGCAUCUAACUCACCCAGUGGCAAAGGGGCCACCACCCACAGAAGGUUUAAAAGUGUACACUCAACAGAUAAGCAGUAGGUAGCAUUCAUAAUGGGAAAAUAUGACUCUGAAAGAAAAUUUUUAUGUGGCACUGAGAUACUUUGAGAUGCAUGAUCAAUGAAGGACCUAAUUCAAAGAGGGUAACAUUAAAAUUCCCAAGUACAGCACAGCCACAAAAGCUGUAGCCACAUGGGCAACUUUACUGCCCCUACAGUUUAAGUGUCUGAUGGGAAUGCCAGACCUAAGAAUUGGAAUUGGGGGUCCUGACUUGUUUGAAGCAAGUUAAGGUCUUUUUUUUUUUUUUUUUUUUUUUUUUUUGAGAGGGAGUCUCACUCUGUCACCAGUCUGGAGUGCAGUGGCAUGAUCUCAGCUCACUGCAAGCUCCGCCUCCCAGGUUCAUGCCAUUCUCCAGCCUCAGCCUCCCAAGUAGCUGGGACUACAGGCGCCUGCCACCAUGCCCGGCUAAUGUUUUGUAUUUCAGUAGAGACAGGAUUUCACCAUUUGGUCAGGAUGGUCUUGAUCUCCUGAUCUCGUAAUUCACCCGCCUCGGCCUCCCAAAGUGGUGGGAUUACAGGCGUGAGCCACCGCGCCUGGACAAGUCAAGGUCUUUUUAUAUUUCCUCAGUGUCACUUACAAUAAUCCACCUACACUUGAUUUUCUCUGUUACAAAAAGAUAGUAUAUUAAAAGGUAGUUCAGUCGAUAUUUAUGGAUGGAAACAGAGGUGAAUAUUUAGAAAGACUAAAUCAAACUGAGAUAAUAAAGAAAUAUAAGCUAUAAUUCAGAGGAAUGGAAUGCCAAAAGUAAGGGGAGUGGAAUCUGAAGUUCAUGACUAUGCUCUCAUAUUUUUUUCCUGCCAGCUGUUGGUAGAAAUUAUUAUUAUGAUGAUGAUGAUUAUGAUUAUUAUUAUUUUGAGACGGAGUUUCGCUCUUGUUGCCCCGGCUGGAGUGCAAUGGCGUGAUCUUGGCUCACAGCAACCUCCGCCUCCUGGGUUCAAGCCAUUCUCCUGCCUCAGCCUCCCGAGUAGCUGAGAUUACAGGCAUGUGCCACCACGCCCAGCUAAUUUUGUAUUUUUAGUAGAGAUGGGGUUUCUCCAUGUUGGUCAGGCUGGUCUCGAACUCCGGACCUCAGGUGAUCCACCCGCCUCGGCCUCCCAAAGUGCUGGGAUUACAGGCGUGAGCCACUGCGCCUGGCCAGAAAUUAUUAUAUGAAACUAGAAGCCUGUUCAAUUUUAACAAAAGGAUGCAGAUAUGAUGCAACUGUUGAACAUAAGACAAAUUAAAAUAUUUUCUUUCUUUUCUUUUCUUUCUCUCUCUCUCUUUCUUUCUUUUUUAGAUGGAGUCUCCCUCUCUACCCAGGCUGGAGUGCAGUGGCAUGAUCUCAGCUCACUGCAACCUCCACCUCCCGGGUUCAAGUGAUUCUCCUGCCUCAGCCUCCUGAGUAGUUGGGAUUACAGGCAUGCGUCACCAUGCCUGGCUAAUUUUUGUAUUUUUGAUUGAGACGGGGUUUUACCAUGUUGGUCAGGCUGGUCUCGAACGCCUGACCUCAUGAUCUGCUCACCUCGGCCUCCCAGAGUGCUGGGACCACAGGUGUGAGCCACCGCACCUGGCCCAAAUUAAAAUAUUUUCAUUGCAAAUACAAAAUACCAAGAGGUUCUAUAUAUAAUCUUUGAAAGUACCCUUUCUAUUUAAAGAUCAGGAUUUUUUUUCACAUGUCUAGAAAGAAAUUUGGUUCAAUUCUAUUCACUAUGUAUUUAUUGGGAACCCAUUAGAUGUGUAAUAUAAUCAAAUAUCAAUAGAUUAUAGAAAAGAAGAGAGUCCUUUUUCUUACAACCCAGCAGGGCGGAAAGGAUUAAAUUCUUCUUAUAAAGGGAGAACAAAUAGAUUAGAAAAGACGCUGCGUAGUCAAGUUCAGAAAAGUGAGAAAGUUUAGAAAGGUUUCAUAGAGAUGAACUGCAGUUCUAAUAAUAAAACUUAACAUUUUUAUAACAUUUGAUAGUUUCGGAAGCAGUUUCACAGACCUUAUCUCAUUGCUUCACAUGGACCUUGUAAGACAGGUGGGAUUUGGAUAAGUAGUUCCUUUAAAAAAUGUCUUCGAAUAUUGUACAUUUAGACUGACAAAUGCCUUUAUUAGAAUAAAGGGAAAAGGUAUGUGAGAGACAUAGAGAGCAAAUUUUGGGUUCUAGUUCCACAACUAACUAGCUGUGUGAACUAUGAACUAUCAUGUGGUGUCUUUGUAAACUCAAGGGUUGGAUUUCUGGACUUUCUGUGCUGAAGUGUAAAACUAAAAAUAUUAAAAUAUUCAGUAAUUC
Long non-coding RNA from Homo sapiens (human), 2645 nucleotides. RefSeq lists it as uncharacterized. The transcript has 3 exons. The record is from RefSeq and is a predicted model, not a curated record. Lineage: Eukaryota; Metazoa; Chordata; Mammalia; Primates; Hominidae.